AGUGCAGUGAAUAGAAGACACUUCUCUGCACCCCAAAAGCUCCAUGCUGAUUGCGAGAAGGAAAUGCUGGAUGGAGGGGUUCCUGGAACUACUGUGAGGGAAAUGGUGAGAGAACUUUGGAUGUGGAACGUGGAGGAGGAGGAACACGAAGUGGGGAUCUGCACUUGGGGUGGUCAACACUGCGGAUGCCCAGCAAAGGCACUGCCUGGUCCACCUCCCGGAGGGGUCUCUGCGCC
RNAcentral lists this small RNA (236 nucleotides) under Pongo abelii (Sumatran orangutan). RNAcentral's name for it is "processed transcript". The record is from RNAcentral. Lineage: Eukaryota; Metazoa; Chordata; Mammalia; Primates; Hominidae.